GCUUAACUUUUCAGCUUUCACCGAUUUUAAGCUCAGUUAAGCUCAGUUAUUGUGGGAUGUAUAACAGAAGUUCAAAUAUCAAUCAAGGAUCAGGUUUAUUGUUUGUAUGUCUAAGGACUUGAUGAACUGCUUUGCUGUUUCCUUGUUUGUUUUGAUGAAAAUGUUGUUUAGUAGAUUUUUGAAUAUUACAUUUUAGAACUUAAUUUCUUCACUGUGCUUCAGUUAUGGUGAUGAAAAAGUUUUCUGAUUAUUUGGGAAAAGCAUGGCUUGAAGCUAUCCAACAGUGAAUGUACCCUGUUAAUGGGUAUUAGUUUGGGAUUCAACCCCCACAAAAAUGAGUAUGUUUGCUUGCGUGUGUGUGGUUCAGAAAGCGAGAGAGUACAUAUCUAAUAACCAUCAAGUUUUGAGUGCUUUGAACAGAGGAUAUCAUUACUAAUAAACAUCAAGUUUUAAUUGCUUUGAACACAGGAUAAUUAUAUAUGGUAUUUGAAUGCUUGGUUUACUGGAAGUGUACAUGCAUAUGGUUUUCUGUAAUUUAGUUUGUAGAGGCACUAUUCUUCCCCAUUAGCUGUCACCAAUAAUUCAUGAUAUACUAAAACCUUCAUGCAAAAACUAAACUUAUUGUUUGGAAACAAACAUAACCAUUGCAUGCAUACGUUAUUCGUUUCAGUCAAGUCUAACUUCUUGUUGAUUUACUAAUCGCCUCGGCAACUCAAGAAACUGCUCUUGCUUCCACCACAGUUAGGUCUAUUUCCAUCACCUUGACCGACCUGGAUGUGCUUGAUUGUCCUAUUUGCUAUGAAUCCUUGACCAUCCCCGUCUUUCAGUGCUCUGGUUUGGGGGUCUAGCGCAAAACACAAGCCCUAAAGAGUUGGAAAGGAGCAUCUGCUCGAAGAUGAGGAUAUUGUUUAGAUUAUCAAAAAGGUGUGAUUUGGCAGGAACUCAGAAAUAUGUGCAACCUUAGCAUCAAGAUAUCGUUUGUAGGACUAAAGCUUUUGAGACACACAAGCUUGUACUUUGCAGAGUAUACAACACUCUUUUUGUCUGUUCUUUUAGUCGUAAGGGUAGGUAAUGUUUAAGGCAGCUUGUUAAGUGAUAUCAAGGAAUCUUACUGCACCUUUUUGUUAUCAAAGCUAUUCUUGGUACGUAGUGUGUUCUUUGUGAAUGAAUAUCAUCUACUAUGAGAUUGAAAGAUUGCGCAUAUACGAAAGGAACUUGAUGCUAUAAAAUGUUUUCUGUGCCAGAUAUAUAAGGAAGCUAAGAAGUUUGCUUAUUAGAAUGGAGCAAAGGUGGUUGCUGUUUAUGGUGGAGCGCCAAUGGGUCAGCAGGUUUGUGUCUCUGCAGGCUCACUGGCCAUUCUGUUUUCUGUGACCACUUCUAUGAUUCGGGUGAUUCCAUUCAUGAUCAGAUUGUGAAACUGGUACAGCAGUACACCUAGCUAGUUCCUUUAUUAACUUGU
This 1459-nucleotide long non-coding RNA is filed under the name Rosa chinensis. RNAcentral's name for it is "sRNA RchiOBHm_Chr3g0466221". Lineage: Eukaryota; Viridiplantae; Streptophyta; Magnoliopsida; Rosales; Rosaceae. The record is from RNAcentral.